This 379-nucleotide unclassified non-coding RNA is filed under the name uncultured fungus. RNAcentral describes it as "partial contains small subunit ribosomal RNA, internal transcribed spacer 1, and 5.8S ribosomal RNA". The stretch from base 1 to 73 matches the Rfam family "Eukaryotic small subunit ribosomal RNA", at positions 1759 to 1831 of the family's 1831-position model. The record is from RNAcentral. Lineage: Eukaryota; Fungi.
GCAAACUUGGUCAUUUAGAGGAAGUAAAAGUCGUAACAAGGUUUCCGUAGGUGAACCUGCGGAAGGAUCAUUAAUGAAUAAACUUGGUUGAUUGUUGCUGGCUCCUAGGAGUAUAUGUGCACAUCUGCCAUUGUUUCAUUCUCAUUCUUUUUCCACCUGUGCACCUUUUGUAGACUUGGAUAACUCUCAAGGAUUCAAUCCUUGGAUUGUGGGAUUGGUUUCAUAACAAAAAGCCUCUUCCUUACAUUUCCAGUCUAUGUUUAUUAUCUACACCCCAUUUGUAUGUAUCAGAAUGUUGAUUAUUUGGCCUUUUGGCUUUAUAAUUUAUACAACUUUCAACAACGGAUCUCUUGGCUCUCGCAUCGAUGAAGAACGCAGC